GUAGGUUCUUUAAGCAUUGACGAGCUAAAGACCAUUUUAAAUUCUAAGCCUAGGGAAGCUUACAAUGGAACUAAUCAGAUGUUUUUAUGUCGGUUUGUUCCGAGACAGUGGAAGACUGGAGGUCAUGUGCUUGUGUCUAAUGUUUAGCAAAAUCUUAGUGAAACGAGGGCGAUAGGAAUGGGGGCUGGGGAAGACUUAGAUGGGAUAAAAAGAGGUGCGGCUGGAAGAACUAAAUCACUUUAAAACUUCUGAAAAUAAAUGUUGACCAUUGUAGUCAGAGGAGUAAAAUGUUCAGAGAAAUGGGGAUGAUUAAACAAGAACGGCAAGCCAGAUUGAGUCAGAAAAUUAUCUUCCUGCCAGAAAUUCUGUCUCCCACAACGGCAUCAGGGGGUGGUUACUUGCCCAGGGUGUAGUCAGUUUUUAAAAAGCUUAAGGGUUACCAACAUAUUCCUAAAUUUCCUGAAUUUGCUGUGAUUCCAGGAUUCAUUUAAACUCUUGAGACUGUUUUACUUUCGGCACGAAAUCAGCUCAUGGGCUUUAUAAAUGUAGAACCUACUGCAUUAUAGUUCUUCUUUUUGUUUAUUCUAAAACUGUUAGUAGCAGCCAGCGUAUUAUAUGAUUUGGAUUGGGCCAUGAACAACCGUAACGAGUGAUAAAGCACCCUUUCCUGUUCCAAUGCAAAGAACAACUAUGAAAAGAAAGUACUGGCAAAUUUAUCAUCUUGUAGUUAGUUCCUGGCCAAAGAAAAUGGUAAGGCCAUUCUUUUAAGCAGUUAAAAAAAAAUGGGGAUGGGCUCUUAAACUUUGGCAUGCUAAGGCCAUUCUUUUAAGCAGUUUAAAAAAAUGGGGAUGGGCUCCUAAACUUUGACAUACUAAAGCAGUCGUCAUUUAGGUAAAAUCUAAGUCUUAAUGGAAAUCGUGAUUUCAUAUCUACUGCAGCGUUAGCAAUCACAUAAUGAUAACUUAAAUCAGUAAAUCGUUGAACUCGGUUCUCUAAUCUUUGAAGAAUAGAAAUACUUUUUAUCCCAAAAGAUGUUUUGAGAAUUAAAUUUGCAGAGAAUUUUUUAGGUCUUUAGUUGUAAUUUAUAGAGCUAGGUCUUUUAACUUUAGUGGAAACCAUGCCCUCCAAACCCAAGUGACUGGAGUCAGAAUGUGAAAUAAGACGACAUAAAAUCCCUAUUUCUUAAGGGGCUGGGCGAAAGUAAUGGAACAAAAUGUAACGUUAUGCUAUUGUGGCAGAGAUAGCUAAUGGAAUGUUUCAUUUCUAAGUCUGUAAUUUCAGUAAUUGUUAGAGGCAGUUUUCCAUCAAUAAGUUAGAUCAAAUGGUUAAACCCAAUAUGAAUUUAUAAAAGCUUAAUUUAAUUUUGGAUUGAUUUACCAGAUGUUUAAGGUGGUUAUAAUGGGUAGUGUUGAUGGUGGUGCUUUUGGAAAAAUGAGUAUUAUAUGCCUGCUCAUCCCUUUACAUUAUCUUAUCAUAUAAACUUCUUGAUUACUCGUUAUGAUACUCUUAAAUCGUACAUUUAGAGGAAAAAUCUUAAAGUAAUCUGUAAGACCAUUUCUCCUUAAAAUGAUAUAUUAUGAGAUGAAAGGAAAGAUAAAGAUAAUUUAGAAGAGAUCCAGAAGUGGACUAAAUUUCUGGUAAGGAGGGGGCUAAAGAUGUUAAAAGACAUCUUAGGAAAAGCAUAUGAUUUAUAACUUUUAAAAGUGUCAUUUAGAUGGUUAAGGAUUUGUGUUUAAUAGUUCUCUUGAAAAUAUUGUUUUCCAAAAGUUUAAAAGCCCUAGCUACUUUUAUACAUUUGCCCUUAAAAAAUGUACAGAAUUUAUUACAUCAAACUGCUACAAAGAAAUAAGAAUUCUGAUUUUUGCAAGUAAGUUGGAAAUCAACGUAGAGGACAAAAAGUGGCAUAGCUAUAUCUAAACAAAAAAGUAUGUAAUUCAAAAGUUGGUCCACAAAGAAUUGAAAGCCUUUCAAUAACUAAUUUAAAUGAUAGAAAGCAGUAUGUAUAUGCAAGUACAUAUGCUCCCUGUAUAGAGAGUGGUUAGUAAGUAAGAUGGUAGCCUAACUCACUGGAAUAAAGAGAUCCUUGGAGUCCCAAACCUCAAGACUAGGAGUCUUAAUGCAGUUACCAGGCUGCAUGCCUGUACCCAGAGACCAUACUAGAGGCUGUGGGAAUCCUCGAUUACUGCUCUUAGAGCCCCCAACUUGACUGUUUCUUCUGUACCUGGUACUUUUUUCAAAUAUUUCAAAUUGCAGUGAUGCAUGGGAGAUACAUUUAGAAAACAUAAUGCAGGGGAAUAAAAGCAGUUAAAAACUAAGGACAGUUUCUACUGAUGAAAAUAAAAAACUGCUACAGCAACAUCUUUUCAUCAUCUGUAAACAUCAUACCCCCAAAUUUUCCUAAGUUAUUAUCUAACCUCAUCAGUAGCAGAUGGUGAAUUAUUUCAUAGAAAAUCCUGGAAUGUAAACUCUAGAUACUCAAGAAAACCUCUUUUUUUUCAAUGAAGGUAUAUUAUAUUUAAAAUAAUAAUGAUGCAUUAAACAUUAUGGGAUAAAGAAAAUACUUUCCAUAGAAAUUAAGCAAUGGCCUAGGCAAAGAGAAGUAACCCUUUAGCAUUAAUACUAUCAGUUAGACAGUGACAUUUAUUGAACAUUCCCUGUGUUGUGUAUUAAGAAUUGGACUACCUAUAUCCCAGUCAACAAUUUUUUCUGGAGUUUAGAAAUAGUUUAUGCUUAUUUUCUGUGUUUUUUAUUACCAAAUUGUUAUUAGUUUGGUGCAAAAGUAAUUGUGGUUUUUGUCACUUACAUGAUGGCAAAAACUGCAAUUACUUUUGCACCAACCUAAUAGAAAAAUACAAAAUGGAGAAUAGUUUUCAGGUUCCACAAAGCAUUUGCUGGAAAUAAAUAUCAGUUGUCUAAAUAAGUAGUACUUGAUUUAUUACUAUGAUUUUCGUAGGGUUCCAUUUCUGGAACAAUAUCAUAUUAAUAAACCCUUUCAGUGAGACCAUUGUGUGGUAUUGCCCAAAAAGGAAAAAAAAAUGUAAUGAGAAAGGACUAAGGCUAAUAAAAUUCCAUAAAUACUAUUAUAAAGAAAAGUAUAAUUUGACUGAGAUGCACAAAUGCUUACUUGAUAAUGAGGUGUUUUUAAGGAAACUUCUAUUAAAUACUCUUUUUGAGUUUAAUAUACUAUGAAACAAUGUUGUCUUUUUUUUUUUUUUAAUGAAGAUUUCCUUGACUUCCAAAGACCUUUGAUGUUCAAGCAAAAUGUAGCAAUUUGGUAAAAGUAAAGGGUGCAUUUCGAACUGAAAUAAACAUAAUGUCCUAUUAAGACCUGUAUUAUAUUUUAUGGAAUUUAACUUAGAAUGUAAGAUAUUAGCUCUGCGGUUUUACAAGCUUGUUUAAAUUCUGCAAUGUAGGGCAACAGAAAAUCCAAACAAAAUCCAUUAAUGACUAUAUUACUUCUUUAUUUUUCUUUUUAAAUAUUAUAUGUGGCCAGUCAGGAUGAAGUUUUUUUUAAACUACAUUUCCUAGUUGGACAGAUCAAGAGUAAGCUCCAGUUUUGCUAUAAUCUCGUUUUGUGAUUGCUGACAAGUCUAUUACUCCCUCAGUUCCCCUAUCACUAAAAAGAAAUAACAUUGUGGUAAAGAGGUGUUAAACUACCAAAUCCACUGAAAAAGUAUGGAAAAAGGUCACAGAUGUGGCAGCUUUGGCAUCUUCAGAAGAAAAGAUAGCAACUCAAUGUGAUACUAUUGGCAAUACCAUUUGUUAAUUGAAAAAAGAAGAAGAAAGCAGUUACUAGACAUCCAUGAUUUUAUGGAGAAGCCAUAUUCUGUCAUAGAUGAGCUAUUUACAGACAUUCAAUGGCACAUUCUUUGACAAAGUGAAUCAUCACUGUCUAGUCUUUCUUGUAUAUGAAUUUGAAGUAUUGAUUAAAGUUGUAGCAUACCUGUAAUUUUAAACUGUAAAACUCUAACACUCACAAAAGAACAUUGAAAGACUGCAAAUUUCUAGACUUGGAGGUUAUAAUUCCUUCUGUAUGUUACUACUAUCAGCUUAUAAAAUUUUAAAAAAUGUGAGUGUAGAAACUUAUAUAAACUGUAUUCACACAUGAAGGAUAGCCUAAAUGCUCCGGACUGAUAAUCUGAAGGUCAUUCUCACCUGGCUGAUUGAACUACUUUUAUUCAUAGAAGCCAAAGUUUUGAAAGGUACAGAUAGAAUCUUGACUACCUUGCAUUCGCAGUUACGUUUUAAUUGCAAAAUAACAAGCUCUUUAGUCACUGGAAACAAAACACUUUUAGCAUUUAACUUUAUAAUACUUGAAAUCCUACCUUGAAAGCAUUCAUACUCAUUAAAAGCUCAACACAUGAUCCAUGUUUACAUAAGGAUUUGGGUGUUGCUUAAAAUGAUCAUGUAAUGAGCUGCUUCUCUGCAAAUUAAUAUUCACUCCCUUCCCUCAUCCUUAAUGUGGGAUCUUUGAAGGAAAAGGAAGUGACCAAACUAAAGACAUAGGGAAAUGCAAAAUCAAGGUGAAAAGUUACCCAGAGGGUUGUUUUAAUUUUGGCCAUCAACCCCCUAGUGAAUAAUGGUAACAGUAUUGUUUUGAGACCCAUUUUGUGGCAUUUACCUAUUGUUAAACUAAAUUGACUAGAUGUAAAUAUAUUUUCAUCUUCAGAUAUUUAGAAUUUCUAUCCUUCCCCAUUGUUUCUGGAUUUUGAUACUAAUCUUUUUUCUUUGCAUAUUGUAUAUAUUUACUCAACAACUAAUCUAAUUUUAGAUUUUUAGCUUAUCCACAUUUCAUUUUUGUUUAUUUCAUUGGUAUUUCAUCAAUACAAUGGCUCUACCCUUCAAGGAAAAAAAACAUCAGCCCGUCCCACAAAAACACAUAUAUUCAAGAAAGAUAAAUUACAUUGUGAUGAUUCAAUCAUAAAGCUACUCAAGGAUGUGCUCCACCAAAAUGAGGAUAUGAAGCCAAUAUAAAGGAAGGCAAUGAAUACAAGAGACAGGCAAAGGGAGUUCCCAGGACAUAAGCAAGGGACGUCCCAGGUAGCAAGUGUGCACCUGGUGUCCAGGGCCAUCUGUCCAGGGAGAAGUCAGCUGCCAUGUCAUGAAGACGCUCGAGUAGCCCUAUGAGAUUCCCAUGUGAACAGAAAUUGAGUCCUCCUGCCAACAAUCAGCCAUAAUUUGCAAGACACGUACAUGAGCUACCUUAGAAGAGAAUCCCUGGGCCCCAGAUAAGCCUUCAGGUGAAUGCAGCCCUGGAAGACAUCUUAACUGCAACCUCAUGAGAGACCCUGAGCCAGAACCAACCAGCUAAGGCACUGCCCGAUUCCUGACCUACACGCAUGGGGGCAUGGUGGCUCACUCCUGUAAUGCCAGCACUUUGGGAAGCCGACGUGGGUUGAUCACUUGAGCCCAGGAGUUCAAGACUAGCCUGGCCAACAUGGCGAAAGCCCGUCUCUACUAAAAAUACAAAAAUUAACUGGGCAUGGUGGUACACACCUGUAAUCCCAGCUACCCAGGAAGAUGAGGUACAAAAAUCGCUGGAACCUGGGAGGAGGAUGUUGCAGUGAGCUGAGAUUGAGCCACUGCCCUCCAGCCUGGGCAACAGAGACUCUGUUUCAGAAACAAAAACAAAAACAAAAGCAACAACAAAAAAAAUUCCUAUUGAAAUUUAACUUACAUGUGAUAAAAUUAAUGUAACAUUUUAUAUAUAUUAUAUAUAAAAUAUAUACUUAUAUAUUAUAUAUACUUAUAUAUAAUGCAUUAUAUAUGCUUAUAUAUAAUGUAUUAUAUAUGCUUAUAUAUUAUAUAAUACAUCUUCUAAUAUAUGUGUGUAAUAUAUAAUGUAACCUGUAUAUCAGUUUCACAGAUGUUAACUUAACAAGCAAAGUUCAUUGAACCAUGCAUUUGUAUUCUAUGCACUUUGUUAUAUAUCACAGUUUAAAAGGUCCAAAGUAGAGUAUAGACAGGCACAGUGGUUCAUGCCUGUAAUCCCAGCACUUAGGGAGGCAGAGGCAGGAGGAUAGCUUGAGCUCAGGAGUUCAAGACCUGACGGGGCAACAGAGCAAGAUCCUGUUCUCCACAGACAGGAAAAGAGAAAGUAGAGUAUAAAUACAGCAUAGGAUCUUGAAAAUCAGACUGGAUCAAAAGGUGACCAUGAACUAGCAAUUAAGGUUCUGUUUAAAAACAACUAACACGUGUUGGGACAUAAGAAUUAGGGUAGCACACAAUAAACUAUCUCCUGGCUUAUAUUUUUUAAAUAUCACUGGGUGGGUCAGUAGUCUGAACCUGGUUGCCAAGGCAGUUCCUAAACCUGGGGAGUAUGACUGAUAAGUUUUUCACCUUGACAGCAGAAAGCAGUUGGGCCCAAGAGAGGGUAGGCUUGAUGCUAGCAAAAUUAUGAAGAUGAAGCCUUAAGUACCUUAUCUUGUUUGUGCUUGCCCCUUGCUCUGCUUCUCUACACCUUUGGAUUCUCAGCAGCCUGCUGCUUUUCUACACCUUUGGAUUCUCAGCAGCCUGUGUAUUUGUGUACUUAUCCCCCUUCCCUUCCUGUCAUCUACCCAUUUCCAAAGCCAAGGCAGGUCUAAAGUCCUGCUUUGUUGACUUCUGGUUCAAUCAGGGGUGUUUCUAUCAUAUCACACUGGCUGAAGGUAUUUGUACCUUAACCUUGAUCUCUGAUUAUGAAUGAAAGGUUUUGGGUCCUAUUAAAGAAAUUUUCAUCACCACUGACUAGUUAUUUGAGGUGUAUUUUGGGUGAGGUGGGCCUUGCUGCCCCUGGGGUAGCACCUUGUAAGCUCUGGUAUGGUAUGCCCUGGGGAGAAGGUGUCAGCUAACUUUUAAAAAUCACUGCAGGUGAUUCAGAUAUGACAACCUGUAUCCUGUAUGACAACCUGCCUUCUGUCCACACCCCGUCUCUCAAUGAGAACCACCUUUUACAGGAAGGCCACUCAUAAGCAGAUAUAUCUAUUUAUUCAUUCAUUAAACAACUAUUUCUUGAGCUCUAACUGUGUCUGGCUAUGGGCUAGCACUGGUGACUCAGGGUUGAACAGAAACAGGCAUAGGCCAUGCAUGGUUUAGUGCAAGACACACAUUAAUCAAGGCAAGCAGGUAAAUGUAAAGUUACCAGUCAGGUAAGUGUCGUAAAUCUGGGUUUACUCAACAUAAAGACAGGUGAAUUGAGAGUUAGCUUAAUAAUUAUGAUUUUCAAGUAUAAGAUGAAUAAAUUAUGUAGAGGAGAAUAUUAUACACUGUAAAAAAGACAUAAAAAAGGAAGUUUGCUGUAGCAUAAAGAAUUUAAGGUAAUGGCUACCAUAGUCAGAGGGCCUGCUCUGUGCCAAGCAUGGUGUUAUUUUAUUUUAUUUUUUUAUUUUUGAGACUGAGUCUUGCUUUGUUGCCCAAGCUGGAGUGCAAUGGUACGAUCUCAGCUCACCAUAACUUCUGCCUCCUGGGCUCAAGCAAUUCUCCUGCCUCAGCCUCCCGAGUAGCUGGUACUACAGGCAUGCACCACCACGCCCGGCUAAUUUUUGUAUCUUUAGUAGAGACAGAGUUUCAUGUGAGCCAGGCUGGUCUCGAACUCCUCACCUCAAGUGAUCCACUGUACCCAGCCUGCUGUUAUUUUAUAUAUUAAAAAUUUUACAUAAAUAUAUUUUACAUAUUUUUAUAUUUUUAUAAAAUAGUGAUUAUAUAUUAUCAUUUAUUAAACUCAUAUAUAUUGAUAAAGCCUCACAGAACCCUACAGAGAUUUAAAAAAGCAAUACUUAGAGAUAUUAGAUAAUCUGUUCUAGGUCACCCAACAUAUAUAUAUUUAAUAACAGCUUUAUUGAUAUAUAAUUCACAUACCAUAACAUUCACCCUUUUAAAAUAUAAAAUUCAGUGGGUUUUAGCAUAUUCAUGUACUUGUAAAUUACCACUAUCUAAUUUUAGAACAUCUUCAUCACCCCCAAAGAAAUCCUGUACACAUUAGCUUCUACCUUUCAUUCCCCCUCACCUCUGCCAGUUCCUGGUAACCACAAAUCUACUUUCUUUCUGUAUGGAUUUGCCUAUUCUGGACAUUUCAGUAAUGUUUUCAAGAUUCAUUCAUGUUAUAUUGUAUAUCAGUACUUUGUUUCUCUUUGUUGCUGAGUAAUAUUCCAUUGUAUGAAUAACCUCAUUUUGUUCACUCUUCAGUUGAUGAACAUUUGAGUUGUCUCCACUUUUUGGCUAUUAUAAAUAAUGCUGCUAUGAAUAUUUAUGUACAAGUUUCCAUGUAGACAUAUGUUUUCAGAUCUCUUGGGUUUAUUUCUAGGAGAAGAAAUGCUAGAUCAUGUGGUAACUCUAUGUUUAACAUUUUGAGAACCGCCAAACUAUUUUCCAAAGUGGCUGCAUCAUUUUACAACCUAUCAGCAAUGUAUGAGGGUUCCCAUUUCUCUACAUUCUUGUUAACAUUAUUUAAGGUAUCCUAGUGAGUGUGAUGUGGUAUCUCAUUGUGGUUUUGAUUUGCAUUUCCUCACCAGCUAAAAUUCAUGAAAUUCAGAUUCAAGUUCAGGUCCAAAGCCAGAGUUUUAGCCACUGUGCAAUACCAUCUCUCUCAUGCUCCUAGAAGUAAGGAAGAAUACGUUGAUAAGAUUGUAACGCACUGGAUUGAAUUUUAAUUAUCAUCUGGGUAUUCACCUCUAGAAGCUUUUAAAAACAAGGGCUUUUUUGUUGUUGUUGUUUUGUUUUUUUGAGACAGUCUUGCUCUGUCACCUAGGCUGUAGUGCAGUGGCGUGAUCUAGGCUCACUGCAACCUGUGCAAUUCUCAUGCCUCAGCCUCCCAAGUUGCUGGGAUUACAGGUGUGUGCCACCACACCCAGCUAAUUUUUGUAUUUUUAGUAGAGAUGGGGUUUCACCAUGCUGGCUAGGCUGGUCUCAAACUCCUGACCUCAAGUGAUCCUCCAGCCUCAGCCUCCCAAAGUGCUAGGAUUACAGGUGUGAACCACUGCACCCAGCCCGGUUUUGUUUUUAAUCUAGGAUAUAAUAGCUAUGGAUUAAAUUCAGUGAUGAGCUGGUAAAUGGUUGACAACCAACUUGGGGUGCCACAGUGGGGUGGGGGUAGCAGGAGGAGCUCUGAUUUGUAACCACUGCUUAUUACCAUAAUGUGAAUACUCCCACCCAUUACCGAUUUCAAGCUACCAACUUGAUGUCUGUCAGCCAGCUUGCAAAAAUCCUGAAAAUGUAACAAUCAGCUCUUGUGAACAGUAUGAGCCUGAGCCAGCUCCAACAUACAAAUUCUAUAAAUUCAUUAAGGCACUUUUUGAAUUACAAAUGUCUUUGUACAUAAGAGAAAAUGAAAUGAUCACUAGUUACAGAAGAUAUAAUUACAUAUGUAGAAAAAUCUAAAGUAAUUCAUGUAAAAUUAAUAUAAGCAAUACACAAUUUCAGCAAUGGGACUAGAUUAAAUAGUUAUACAAAAAUUAUCUUCUCUCGCAAAAAUAAUUAGUUAGCAAAUGUGAUGGUGAAGAUUUCCCCAUCAUAGUAGCAAUGAAACAAUAACAGCAACAAAGCCUUAGAAUACCUGGAAAUACAUUUAAUAAAGAAUGUACAGUUUCUAGAAGAAUAAACAUCAGAAAUUCUUCUGAGGGGCAUUAAAAAACUUUGAAAAAAAGGGAAAGAUGUAUGCUGAGAUCUUACAGGAAGACUCAGUAUUAUAUAAUUAUUAUUUCUUCCUGAAAUAUUUUAGAAAUCAAAUGCAAUCUCAAUUACAAUCCCAACAAGAUAUAUUUAGAAAAUCAAUAAGAUGAAUAGAAAGUUCGUUCAUCUAAAAGAAAAAAACAAAACAAAAAGAGGUGAGGCUAGGAAAAUUUUGAAAAAUAAGACAAGAGAAGGCUAAUUUUUAAAACAACAAGCAUGUAUUUCAGAAAAACAAAAUACAGUUAAUUGAAAAGAAAAAGAAAAAGCAAACAGAGAGAGACAGGCCAGCUCACCUCUGGAGUGCAAGAGCAUUCCUCAGCCAUGUGUUCCCUUCCUCUUGUGAACCAAAUGGAAUGAAAGUGUGGAGGGAGGGUGUUAAGUGACUUUCUGAGCUGUGUUUUGAAAUGUAUUUCUCCUUAGUAACAAUGUUAUAAACAGUGCCGAGGUUCCAAGGCUAGCCCAGUUCUAUCAUAGGUUAGGUACAGGCUUCUAAGGCAUAUCUUAUAAACUCAACUACCAAAUUUAAUAUGGAUCCCACUGUAUGUGUUCUAGUCUCCAACUUUUGGAAUGCAUCGUUACAGUCAGUAGGGAACUACUUAGACAACUAAGUAUAAUGAAUAAAGAGUAUUUUGAGUGUGAAUGUGGCAUGUUAUGGCAAUAUGUUCAAUGUUUUUAAUUCUCUUUCACCAUAGACUUUUUUUUGAUUUCUCAUUUGCUUAUUUGUGUAACUUAUAAGAUAAUUACAUAUUUAACUUAGCAUUGUGAGAAACAAAAUUGAUAACAUUGCUUUAAUCUCCUGAAUGUAUAAUAUGUUCUUAUUUCUGAACAGAUACAUUUUUCAAGAUAUGGAGGAAAUAAGCAGUCCAAUCUCCACUGAGCUGUAUAUUUUUUCAGAUGUUUCUUCUGGAGUGAAUAUUUACGGGCUAGAUAGAAUUUCUUGAAAAUAGACAUGUCACAUUCUUGUUUAUAUGUAACAUUUAUUACAACUGGCAAGAAAUGAUAAUUUAAAACUAACUUUAAAAAAUGAGUUCAGGACAGGUGCGGUGGCUCUCGCCUGUAAUCCCAGCACUUUGGGAGGCCGAGGUGGGCGGAUCACUUGAGGUCAGGAGUUCAAGACCAGCCUGGCCAACAUGGCAAAACCCCAUCUCUACUAAAAGAAAAUAUAUAUAUAUACAAAAAUUAGCUGGACUUGGUGGCACAUGUCUGUAAUCUCAGCUACUUGGGAGGCUGAGGCAUGAGAAUCACUUGAACCCAGGAGGGGGAGGUUGCAGUGAGCUGAGAUCGCACCACUGAUCUCCAGCCUGGGUGACAGAGCAAGACUCUGUCACACAAACACACACACACACACACACAGGAGUUCAGGGAAGUUUAGUUUCGAACUAAUUUAUAGCUUGAAUACUUUGAGGUAAUAUUUAGAUCAAUUUAUUAUUCACUAAUUUUGUUGAAAAUUUAUAUCAUGACUAUUCUGAUUCCAUCUCAAGGCACGAGGUUACUCUCAGUGGAUAAAAACUCAGCUACAGCUGAGGUUAUUGAAAUGCCAUGCAUAUAAGCAUCCUGGCUCAUUUUCAAUUUGCCUAUGUAUGUGGGUAGGGUGUGUGUGUCUGCAUGCGCCCACAAUCCUUAAAAUUACGUGGAAUAUUAACAAAUAAUAUCAUGCACAUCCGAUGUUUGUGCAAUAAUAUUAGAGAGAAAGAAGAUUAUUCUCUGAGACCCUCCAAGCAUCUUGCUGAUAACUAGUUUUAUCCUUUGACACCACAGUUUGAGGCCGCAGCAGCCUGCUGACACUCAAACAGUGAGUUAGUGACAGGCUCUGCAGAGAACAGAGCACUUCUCUGUCCACAGAAUUCCGGGCACCAGGACGAACACAUAUGCACUGUAGACUUUGAGUAUUUUUAUAUGACUCAGUAUAAAUGUAUACAUUCAUAGCCUCAUGAGCGCAUGUCUGUAAAUAUGGGGUCUCAAUAGCUUCAUGCAUUUUCCUCACUAGCCAGCGAGUUCUCUGGCAUACUUAAUCAAUCCUCUACUAUUCUUGGAUAGGAAGUACUAAAUUGCUGAGGUUUUAACAAAUACCAUGUUUCACUUAGGCAGUGUAGAAAUUAUCCCAGUAUAAGUACAUUACUAUUUUUAUGUUUUUGAUUUUUAACUUUUAUUAUUUUAAAAAUAACAUAAUGUGUAUUCAUAAUGGAAACAUAUAAAAUGCAGAUAAGUAAAAAGAAAAAUAUACCUGAUCCCACCAUGUGGAGAUAAUAGCAACCAUAAUAAAUUUGAUGUAUACCUGAUUUAGACUUUUUUCUAUGCACUUAUAUACAUGCAUAAAAUUUUUCACAAAAAUAAAUCAUAUAGAUGUCUUAAAACCUUCAAACCCUGCUUUUAAAAUUUAAUAUACCAUAAAUACCUUUCAAUUUCCAACAUAAUAUUUAAUGGCUGCAAGCCAAGAAUAUUUUAGCUGAAUAGGACUGGGAAUUCUUUGCCCCAAAGAUCUUACAUUAAAUUGAAACGUAAUCAUCCCAGGGCCUGGCCUCCUGAGGGUAAGUUGUACCACUGUGGCAUCAAAAGGUAGCCAAGAGGCACUGUUUAAGGUAGCUGGGUGUCUAGGUGAGUGUGUGCAUGUGUGUAUGGUACUUCACAGUGUGGAACUGAGCUGAGAGUAGAAAGAGGUGUGAACUAAAGCCCUGGGCCAGGAACCAAAGACAAGUGUCUGGGUUUGGAUAGACCCACACUGCCACUGAGAAUUCUAAAUUUAAUCCCAUCUUCCAGAUAAUUUUGAGGCUUACAUUUUUUAAGGAAAAAAAGAGAUAAUAUUUUUUAUUUAGUAGUUUGCUUUCAUAACUUUAAAACAUUUUGGCACAUGAUAGGUGUAUUAUCCUUCAUUUGUACUUGAGGCAGCCCCUAAAAAUGUCAGGAGCAGGCCUGAAUACACAGAUUAUAUACUUCCUAAAUUUCUAGAAUGUAUAAUAAUUGUUUUAUAUAAUAAUUUACCUUUCUAUAUGAAUGAAAAGGAGUAUUACAUGAGUGCUCAUUUAUUGACUGGCUAAGGUUCAAUUUAAUAUGAUAUUUAUUGAAACUUCACCAUACACCAUAUUCUACUGGGUACAGGAUGAGAGGCAAAAAUACAUAGGCCAGACCCUUACAGGACUCCCAGUCUUCUGGGGACCUCAGACUGUGAAAUAAUUAUCCCACAGAGUGAUAAGUGCAUCAGACAAGUGUGAACAUGGUACAGAGCCACAGAGAGAAAAGAGUGGACAACUUCAGGGUCAGGACCCUGGGAUCAAUUAAUUUAUCUGGACAACUAUAGCCUCACAGAAAUCUUUAAAAAGCUGUAUAAACCAUUCCAUCCAAGAUGAGUUAUUGUAAGCCUUUGAAAUAGUUGAACAUUUUAAAUUUUUGAUAAAUUUGGUAGGUUGGUCACUUGACAAAUUGAUCAUUCAGGAAUUCACUUUUAGUAGAUGAUUUUUACCUAAUCAGCCUGUUUCUUUGAGGGGCUGAUCUCAAGGUACAUUCAUAGAAAUUCCGUCCAUGCUGGGAUUUAAAAAAUACAUAGGAAGGCCAAGUGCAUUGGCUCAGGCCUGUAAUCCCAGCACUUUGGGAAGCCAAGGCGGGUGAAUCACCUGAGGUCAGGAGUUCGAGACCAGCCUGACCAACAUGGUGAAAUCCAGCUCUACUAAAAAUACAAAAUUAGCUGGGUGUGCUGGUGCACACCUGUAAUCCCAGCUACUUGGGAGGCUGAGGCAGGUGAAUCACUUGAACCCAGGAGGCAGACGUUGCAGUGAGCUGAGAUUGCGCCAUUGCACUUCGGCCUGGGCAAGAAGAGCAAAACUCCUCAAAAACAAAACAAAACAAAAAAACACAUAGGAGUUUGAAUGGGAAGGCAUGUGGUCAGUUAAUGAGUAAAAAUACUCUGUGAAGAGGGAACAGCACAUGUGUCAGCUUGGAGGCACAUCAUGGAGUGGCACAUUCUGAGAACAGUAGGUGGUUAAAAUUGCUAGAGGACUGAGGUGAGGAAGCAAAAGGAGACAAAAUUGGAGAGAAAGACAGGGCUACAACCUGGAGGGUUUUGUGGUGCUGGGUUCCAUGGAGUUUUAUCCAAUAGGAAAUGGAAGCCAUUGAAGGAUUCAAAGGCAGGAAGUGAGAACAUCAGACUGCAUUUUAGACAGACCGUGCUGGCAAAGGAAUGAAGGAUGAAUUGAAGGGGAGUAGUCUGGAAGGGGGGAGUUCACUGCUGAGAAGGGAGCAUCCACAAGGGUCAUGAUAAGGGCAAAUUCUGAAUUCAGAGUGUUGAGAUUCAAAACUGCUUCUAUGACUUAGCAAAUGUGUGUGUGGGCAAAGCUGGUUUCCUCAUCUGAAAAAUACAAUAAUAAUAGCUGUGAAGAUUAAAAGAAACAAUACAUAUAAAGUGCUCAAGGAAGAGCCUGCCAUAUAGCUCUUAAUACAUACUAGCUAUUAUUUUUAAAAUGUAAUAUAAUUAUUAUAUUUAGGAGUUCAAAAGAAAGAUAUUGAUGGUCAGGCAGUGGAGGUGGGUGUGGGAAUAAGAAAUAUAAGGAGUGGAUUUGACAGGUCUUUUUGGCGAUUAGAUUCAAGAUGAGGUAGGAGGAAUUUGGGAAGACAGGAGCAAGAACAAGUGGGAUGGUGGAAGAUAAUGAAUUUUGCUUUGGACAUGGUGAGUUUUAGAUACUUUUGGGUCAUAAAGGAUAUCCAGUGAGCAGAUUGAUAUGUAGGCCUGCAGCUCAGUAAAGAGAAGUGAAGGCCACAUAAGCAAAAUGCCAGGGUAAGAGGUUGAUCAGAAAUAGCUGCACUGAUGUACAAAUGCUAUUUCAUCUAUUUGGCCCUUGAUGCAUGACGUCUGUUAGUACUCAGAAGAGAGGGCACCUUAAUAGCUUUCUUAGGUGCAAUCUCCACUAUAAAAGCUUUGCUUAUCAACCCAACUAGGUAGGGCUUCUUUACUCUUACACUCUUUGUUAUGGACUGAAUAUUUGUGUCUCUUCCACCCCACCAAAUUCAUAUGUUGAAGACCUAAUCCCCAAUGCUGUGUUAUUUAGAGAUGGGGCCUUUGGGAGGUAAUGAGGGUUAAAUGAGGUCUUGAGAAUGGGCCCUUGGUCCUAUGGGAUCACUGCCCUUAUAAGAAGAGACACUACUCUGUUAACAUACACCAAGGAAAGGCCACGCGAGCACACAGUGAGAAGGCAGCUGUCUCUACAAGCCAGAAGAGAGCCCUCAGAGAAACGACUCUGUUGGAUCUUGAUCUGAUGCUUCUAGCUUCCAGAACUGUGAAAAAACUUUCUGUUGUUUAAGCCACCCAGUCUAUGAUAUUUUAUUUUAUUAUGGCAGCCUGAGCUGACUAGUAUAUCCUUGUAUAAGGGGUUCUUUGUAUUUCUCCUAUGGGUUGGUCUUUUGUUUCACUCUCUUUAUUAGUAUAUGUUUCUUAUCACUUCUUCCACCUUAUAGGUAGCUUGAAGGCAGGUCUUUCCUUAUACUUAUGUUAGCAUUCCCUGUGGUGCCCUGCACAAGGUUUUGCCCAAAGGAGAUGUUCAAUAAACAUUUGAUGACCUCAAGAUAAUGCAGUAAUUUCUGUGAAGAAGGUCACAGAUAACAAGCUUAGGGCAGGAGACUAGGCAGCAUUCAAGACUUGGGCUCAGGUAGAAACGGCAAGAUAUAGGAUUUCAAUGUGAAAUUUGGAGAUUAGCAAGGACAGAGGUUCUCAACAAUGAUCAGUGAGAAAAGUGAAAUGGCCAACAUGUCUCCAAGUAAGGCAUAUUCUUUUUUGAGUAUUUUGCACUUUGCAAGCCAUUAUGUAAAAUUAUGUUUUGGCUUGGCUGCUUCAAAUUAACUUUGAAAAAAAAAUUGUUUUUGAGUUACAGUUUGUCUAAAGCAAAUGAGUUUAAAGGCUGAAAUCGAGAAUGGGUCAUAUCCUUAAUAAUUUUAUGUAGUAAAAGAUAUUUUUAAAAGAACUACCAAUCAACUGAAAAAUCCAAAAAUCCAACAAUGGCAGCCACUGCCCCCCAAAGAAAUGAAAUGAAACAAAACAAGCAAAACAAAAAAUAUUUUGUUUAUUGCACUUCAAACUCUAGUUUAUUGGGAACCACUUAAAAUUGACAUAAUGUUCUUAAGUGGAGAUUCAGGGGUGAUGCUGUGAUUCUGUGUAUUUUCUGCGGGAUGCCAAGUGUGUUCUGGGGGUCAUGGUAGAAAACAGAGAGGGACUUUGCCAUAAAUGUCUCAAGAUAUCCCUCUGUGAGGAUAGAAGAAGUGGGGGAGAUUUAUUUAUUUAUUUUCUCUGGAGCAUCCUUCAUUGCCAUCUUGCUAAUCUCCUGAGUGCUACUGGAAACAAGGACUUUCUAGUAUCACCAGCGCUGAAGCCCAACAGUACAUGGGAUGAAAAUGGAGUAAAGUUGACUCUACCAACCUAUCCACCUAAGAGAAACCAGCACGUGGAUGAAUGGAUGUCACAGCCUGGAGCAAACUCUUAGACUUGUGUUCUCCAAUAGGUGAGCCACUAGAGCCACAAUUGGCUGUGAGCAUUCAAAAUUUGGUCAGUCCAAAUUGAGAUUGAGAUGUGAGUGUAAAAUAUGCACUAGAUUUCAAAAACAGUUAAAAGAAUGUAAAAUAACUCAUUAAUAUUUGCUUAUUAAUUACAUGUUGAAAUAAUAUUUUGUAUAUAUUAAGCUAAAAUAUGUUAUUAAA
RNAcentral lists this long non-coding RNA (16320 nucleotides) under Homo sapiens (human). RNAcentral describes it as "non-protein coding lnc-SERP1-4:7". The record is from RNAcentral. Lineage: Eukaryota; Metazoa; Chordata; Mammalia; Primates; Hominidae.